AUUGAACGCUGGCGGCAGGCCUAACACAUGCAAGUCGAGCGGGGGAAGGUAGCUUGCUACCGGACCUAGCGGCGGACGGGUGAGUAAUGCUUAGGAAUCUGCCUAUUAGUGGGGGACAACAUCUCGAAAGGGAUGCUAAUACCGCAUACGUCCUACGGGAGAAAGCAGGGGAUCUUCGGACCUUGCGCUAAUAGAUGAGCCUAAGUCGGAUUAGCUAGUUGGUGGGGUAAAGGCCUACCAAGGCGACGAUCUGUAGCGGGUCUGAGAGGAUGAUCCGGCACACUGGGACUGAGACACGGCCCAGACUCCUACGGGAGGCAGCAGUGGGGAAUAUUGGACAAUGGGGGGAACCCUGAUCCAGCCAUGCCGCGUGUGUGAAGAAGGCCUUAUGGUUGUAAAGCACUUUAAGCGAGGAGGAGGCUCUUUUGGUUAAUACCCAAGAUGAGUGGACGUUACUCGCAGAAUAAGCACCGGCUAACUCUGUGCCAGCCGCCGCGGUAA
This 501-nucleotide ribosomal RNA is filed under the name uncultured bacterium. Its description in RNAcentral is "partial 16S ribosomal RNA". It matches the Rfam family "Bacterial small subunit ribosomal RNA", at positions 30 to 523 of the family's 1533-position model. The record is from RNAcentral.